CCAAAAUCACCGCCUCGCCGUCCCUUCUCCGGUCGUAUAACCUCGCCGCCGGAUCGUUGACGCGCCCCGUCAGUAGCUCGGCCUCCGUUUUUAUGCCGUAGUCAUAAGACAGGAUUUACUUAGUGCAGAUUUUCGGGUCUGAGGAUUUCCUGGUCAAGACAGGAGAAAUUAUACCUGGUUUUGUAAUCAAAAGCUUCCUGGAUGUAAUCUUUGAAGCCGUCGACUUCCAUGGCCCGAUCGUAGGAUUUCUUGGCCACGCUCAAGGUAAAAGGGCUGAUGAAGCUCCAGUUGGCGGAGAUAUCCUUCACUUGCCGGAACAGCUUGCCAAUAACUCGCUUAGAUUCGUAGAAGGGCUUCCCGGGCUUGUCCAAGAAAUCCGGAUACUCCUUUACGCGCAGGUGGGACGGUAUCUCAGCCGGAACGCCGGUCUUGGGGAAGUCGACUGCUACCGAGAAUAUGCGAGCGAGUUCUAAACAGGGCUCACUCAGCGCCAUGUCCGGUUCUUUGUCCGCAAACACCACAUGGGCGAUCGAAAUUACGCCUAAAUUGUCGUUUAGAAUGUAGUCUGCGAAGUACUUUUGAAUUUCCUGAUGAGGAAAUUAAAGAACACAUUAUAUAUAUUACCCCGUCUCAUUUUGGUUGUCUGAUUCCUUUAAGUUUGAAGUUAUUUUUAAUCUAAUUUUUCAUAAUAUUAAGUUUAA
Ipomoea triloba (trilobed morning glory) is the source of this 701-nucleotide long non-coding RNA. RefSeq lists it as uncharacterized. The transcript has 2 exons. Lineage: Eukaryota; Viridiplantae; Streptophyta; Magnoliopsida; Solanales; Convolvulaceae. The record is from RefSeq and is a predicted model, not a curated record.